GUGCUCACUUGGGCAACAUAUGUACUAAAAUUGGAAUGACACAGAGAAGAUUAGUAUGGCCUCUAUCCAAAGAUGAUAUACAAAUUUGAGAAACAUUUUUAAAUCUU
Sarcophilus harrisii (Tasmanian devil) is the source of this 107-nucleotide small nuclear RNA. The record is from Ensembl. NCBI's taxonomy places the organism in Eukaryota, Metazoa, Chordata, Mammalia, Dasyuromorphia, Dasyuridae.